This 20-nucleotide non-coding RNA is filed under the name Mus musculus (house mouse). Lineage: Eukaryota; Metazoa; Chordata; Mammalia; Rodentia; Muridae. The record is from RNAcentral.
UAACAGCAGCCCCAAAUCGG